Molecule: small nucleolar RNA, 107 nt
Organism: Coffea eugenioides
Lineage: Eukaryota; Viridiplantae; Streptophyta; Magnoliopsida; Gentianales; Rubiaceae
Source: RefSeq, a predicted model, not a curated record
AGACCAUGGUGAGGACAUCUUCUUUGAAAAUUCUUAAAUUUCUCUCAAGUUUUAUAUAACGACUCGCCUUCAUUUUGAGUAAAUCCUGUAAUAUCCAUGCGAAAUUU